RNAcentral lists this ribosomal RNA (16 nucleotides) under Umimayanthus parasiticus. RNAcentral's name for it is "partial 18S ribosomal RNA". Lineage: Eukaryota; Metazoa; Cnidaria; Anthozoa; Zoantharia; Parazoanthidae. The record is from RNAcentral.
AGGAUCAUUACCGUUA